GAAAUGCGAUACGUAGUGUGAAUUGCAGAAUUCCGUGAACCAUCGAAUCUUUGAACGCAUAUUGCGCUCGAGGCUUCGGCCGAGAGCAUGUCUGCCUCAGCGUCGGCUCACCCCUCGCCAUCCCAACCCUUGUGGUUGCGAAAGGCGGAUCUGGCCGUCUCGUUGCCUCCGGGCAAACGGGUCGGCUGAAGCCCAGAGGCUUGAGCAUGCACCCGUUACAAGGGCAACAGCUAGGUAGGUGGUUAUGCCGCAUGCCGCUGGUGCCUUUAGGGCGUGCUGUAAAGCCUGCAGGAACAAUGCAGUCCUAGGACUGGAUUGACUCACUCAUUCGACCUGAGAUCAGGCAAGGUUACCCGCUGAACUUAA
RNAcentral lists this unclassified non-coding RNA (366 nucleotides) under uncultured fungus. RNAcentral describes it as "sequence contains ITS1". The stretch from base 1 to 105 matches the Rfam family "5.8S ribosomal RNA", at positions 50 to 154 of the family's 154-position model. The record is from RNAcentral. Lineage: Eukaryota; Fungi.